UUUUUAUUUUAUUACUAACAUUUAAAAAUACAUAAUUACAAAUUUACAACAAUUAAACAAUAAUCAAUUACAUAAAAAAUAACCAAUUAAGCAAUAACUAAGAAGCAUAUAUAACUAUAUAAUAUACCAUGAAAGAUUGAAAUUGAAACUUGAAAGUCAAAGCUUCAAAUCGGUUUGGGUGAGAGUGGGAGGAACUCGGGUCGGGUUGGUCCUGUUGGAACUUGGAAGCUUCGGCCUUGGGCUUGGAGCAACAGAUCGGCCGACAAUGGAACACGGCAGGCGGCAGCAGAUCGAGGCAACAGAUCAUGACAGUAGGAAGUGGGUAGAUCGAGGCAGCAGUUCACGACAGAUCAAGGCAGAUCACGGCAGCAGGAAGUGGGCAGAUCAGCGCUAGCAAGAUGUGGGCAGCAGAUCGCGGGGUGGCUGACUGGCUGUGGCCUGUGUGUGCGUGGGUGGGUGGCUGGCUGCUAUGUGUGCUCUAUGUUCCGUGGAGACUUGAGAGUGGAGCGGCUGUGGUGUGGCGGUUGGCCUGUGUGUGUGAGUUGUGAAUCUUGUGAUUUUGUUUUUGUGUGUGAGAGCUGAGACUUGAGAGUUGAGAGUCAUAGACUCACAGUUGUGAUUUUGUGUGUGU
RNAcentral lists this long non-coding RNA (631 nucleotides) under Citrus maxima (pomelo). RNAcentral describes it as "long non-coding RNA (CMAX_LNC003703)". The record is from RNAcentral. Lineage: Eukaryota; Viridiplantae; Streptophyta; Magnoliopsida; Sapindales; Rutaceae.